Molecule: small RNA, 91 nt
Filed under: Liquorilactobacillus capillatus DSM 19910
Lineage: Bacteria; Bacillati; Bacillota; Bacilli; Lactobacillales; Lactobacillaceae
Description: Lactobacillus capillatus DSM 19910 RNA anti-toxin A
Rfam family: RNA anti-toxin A
Source: Rfam by way of RNAcentral
UAAUGUGGAUAAGAAAAAGGAAGCCCCGCGUGAACAGGGCUUCCCCGUGUAGAGCCGUUUAAGACGGUGACAAUACUAUGAUUAUUAAAUA